GACGAACGCUGGCGGCGUGCCUAAUACAUGCAAGUUGAGCGAUGAAGCUUGGUGCUUGCACCAAUUUGAAGAGCAGCGAACGGGUGAGUAACGCGUGGGGAAUCUGCCUUUGAGCGGGGGACAACAUUUGGAAACGAAUGCUAAUACCGCAUAACAACUUUAAACAUAAGUUUUAAGUUUGAAAGAUGCAAUUGCAUCACUCAAAGAUGAUCCCGCGUUGUAUUAGCUAGUUGGUGAGGUAAAGGCUCACCAAGGCGAUGAUACAUAGCCGACUUGAGAGGGUGAUCGGCCAGAUUGGGACUGAGACACGGCACAAACGCCUACGGGAGGCAGCAGUAGGGAAUCUUCGGCAAUGGACGAAAGUCUGACCGAGCAACGCCGCGUGAGUGAAGAAGGUUUUCGGAUCGUAAAACUCGGUUGGUAGAGAAGAACGUUGGUGAGAGUGGAAAGCUCAUCAAGUGACGGUAACUACCCAGAAAGGGACGGCUAACUACGUG
RNAcentral lists this ribosomal RNA (497 nucleotides) under uncultured bacterium. Its description in RNAcentral is "partial 16S ribosomal RNA". It matches the Rfam family "Bacterial small subunit ribosomal RNA", at positions 28 to 507 of the family's 1533-position model. The record is from RNAcentral.